CUCAGAAGGCAGCCGGACCGCCACCAAGACACACGUGUGAGAGCCGGCGACCUCAACCUCCCGCCCAAUUACAACUCUUUAAUAACCCACAACUAAUAGAUGAGGAUGGCGUGUUGCUGGUGGCUCGUGUGUAGCGCCUUCCUUGUCCUGGCGGCGGUCGCUGGCCCCUCCCUGGGCCAGCCUAUCCAGGACAGUGACUUAGGGGACAUGCCAGAGCGCCUGCGCGAACUGCUCUUAAUUCGUCGACUAGUUUCAAAUUUGAACUCUGCGGAGGCGGCCAUUCCUGACGCCCUGCCUGGGAUCCGGAUAUUGAGCCGUCAGGGGCGUUGACGUCUCCUUCUGGCGCUCAGGAUCUUGAAUUAUUAUUAUUAUGUAAAUUAACGCUGAAAUACAAUUAAAGCCAAACGACGAAUAAAUGAUAAAAAAAACUUUAAUGUUCACCUCAACUCCUGUUUCUCUAUAUUUGACCAAAUGUAAAAAUAAAGAAAUUAAUGCAUAAUGAUGUUGCGUAAAAUUAAUUAUUUUAACUAAAUACAGUAGCAGAGAGUUUGCUAUUUCUGAUUCAACGAGGAUUUAUUGUUUGUAAAUACACAAAAACAAAAGUAAUAUGGCUGGAAAAGUUAUAAGAAUUCAGAAUGGAAUCGAAAGUUGGUGUUGACAUUAGAAUUUGGCGAGUGAUUGUCAUUUGUUUUCCCUUUUGGAGCGUUUGUGCAGUGUAUUCUGACCCUUCUUAAGUAACACUGGAUCAUUAUAUGUUUUAGAAAAGAUUCCAAUACCAUUAAGCAACACUAUCACCCUCCAUCAUGCUUGGUUUAGAGGCUGGCUACUUCCCCUUUAAUGUCCUAUUGAGUAUAAAGUCCUUUUUAACGGUUUGCUUUGCAAUCACUUAACUAUAAUUAUCAUCAUUUUUAGAACACACUACAUCAACCAAAAACGAAUCAUUGACAAAAUAUAAAAUAUAUUCUAGAUUAACGCAAUAAUCAGAGAAAAUGAAUAAAAUUUAAUUAUAUUUUUACGAGAAAUACGUUAUGGUAAAGAAAACGGGGGAUUAGAGUUCUGGGGACACGAUUGUAUCUAAUGAAGAAUUUAAAAUACAUAAUAACAUUA
Non-coding RNA from Procambarus clarkii (red swamp crayfish), 1107 nucleotides. NCBI's taxonomy places the organism in Eukaryota, Metazoa, Arthropoda, Malacostraca, Decapoda, Cambaridae. The record is from RefSeq and is a predicted model, not a curated record.